This 506-nucleotide unclassified non-coding RNA is filed under the name Hevea brasiliensis (rubber tree). Lineage: Eukaryota; Viridiplantae; Streptophyta; Magnoliopsida; Malpighiales; Euphorbiaceae. The record is from RNAcentral.
UUAGGAUUAAAAUUAAAACAACCCACACUUUGUUUUGCAUGGUAUAAUCCAUUCAUUUCUUUCCAUUUGUUGCCUUCCUAUUUGGCUAAAACGGCAUCGUUCUUUUCCUUCUGCCAUAAAAACAAGCAUACAGAAUACAGGUACAGUGCACCAAACAAACAGCUUACAAGGAAAUACAAUAAAAAAUCAUCUGACCCUACGGUAAUCUUUAGCACACGCCUCCCUACCGCUUAUCUCCCAAAGCCCUAUCUGUAGUAGAUAUCAACAGCUAAACAGAAACAAUACUCGUCUUCUUCCUCAUUUUUCUACAGCUUCUCAGCAAAGCCCAAAUAUUUUUCUCAUUAUUCCUUUCUCCACCCACGUUCACCCUCCUUUAUUGGUCCAUUUCAAAUCUCGGCUCUGCUGUGACAUUACCCUCUUCUUUCUUUGAAACCCUCGACUAAUAGCAGUGCUUAACGCGUCUUACCAUUUCGAUUCAAUCGAGGGUUUUUCUUUUUUUUUUUUUU